Brachypodium distachyon (stiff brome) is the source of this 135-nucleotide non-coding RNA. The record is from Rfam. Lineage: Eukaryota; Viridiplantae; Streptophyta; Magnoliopsida; Poales; Poaceae.
AUUCUACUCCCUCCGUCCAACAAAAAAUGUCUCAAGUUUGUUAAAAUUGGAUGUAUCUAGACAUGACUUAGUUUAUAGAUGCAUUCAAAUUUAAUCAAAAUUGAGAUAUCCUUCGUUAGACGAAGAGAGUAGGUA